UAUCACUAAGNGGAGGAAAAGAAACCAACAGGGAUUGCCUCAGUAACGGCGAGUGAAGCGGCAACAGCUCAAAUUUGAAAUCUGGCGCCCUUGGGUGUCCGAAUUGUAAUUUGCAGAGGAUGCUUUGGGCGAGGUGCCUUCCGAGUUCCCUGGAACGGGACGCCAUAGAGGGUGAGAGCCCCGUACGGUGUGGCACCGAGCCUCUGUAAAGCUCCCUCGACGAGUCGAGUAGUUUGGGAAUGCUGCUCUAAAUGGGAGGUAAACUCCUUCUAAAGCUAAAUACCUGCCAGAGACCGAUAGCGCACAAGUAGAGUGAUCGAAAGAUGAAAAGCACUUUGGAAAGAGAGUUAAACAGCACGUGAAAUUGUUGAAAGGGAAGCGCUCGUGACCAGACUUGGUGCGGCGGUUCAGCAGUCCUUCUGGGCUGUGCACUCCGCCGUCCCAGGCCAGCAUCAGCUGCCGGUCGGGGAGAAAGGCGGUGGGAAUGUGGCCCUUCGGGGUGUUAUAGCCCNCCGUCAUGCCCUUCCGGCGGUUGAGGAUAGCGUCUUGCACGGAUGCUGNCGUAAUGGUCCCUAGCGACCCGUCUUGAAACACGGACCAAGGAGUCGUUCUGCUGUGCGAGUGUUUGGGUGUCAAGCCCCAGCGCGAAAUGAAAGUGAACGGAGGUGGGAGCCUCGGCGCACCAUCGACCGAUCCUGAAGUUUACUGAUGGAUUUGAGUAAGAGCACAGCGGACCGGACCCGAAAGAAGGCGAACUAUGCUUGGAUAGGNCAAAGCCAGAGGAAACUCUGGUGGAGGCUCGCAGCGGUUCUGACGUNCAAAUCGAUCGUCAAAUCUGAGCAUGGGGGCGAAAGACUAAUCGANCCUUCUA
This 871-nucleotide ribosomal RNA is filed under the name Lignincola laevis. RNAcentral describes it as "LSU rRNA". It matches the Rfam family "Eukaryotic large subunit ribosomal RNA", at positions 41 to 946 of the family's 3401-position model. The record is from RNAcentral. Lineage: Eukaryota; Fungi; Ascomycota; Sordariomycetes; Microascales; Halosphaeriaceae.